UGAUGAUGGUGAGGAUAAUUAAUGGGUAAAGAUUUAUACCUGUCCCAUGAUUGGUACAAAUUCUCUCCAGAUUUUUGUUUAAAGCUUAAAAUUUCAUUCCUCAACUU
Molecule: small nucleolar RNA, 107 nt
Organism: Solanum dulcamara
Lineage: Eukaryota; Viridiplantae; Streptophyta; Magnoliopsida; Solanales; Solanaceae
Source: RefSeq, a predicted model, not a curated record